CAGUCGCCGCGGGAAUAUGUAGGGUGCAAGCGUUAAUCGGAAUUACUGGGUGUAAAGCGUGCGCAGGCGGUUUGUUAAGACAGAUGUGAAAUCCCCGGGCUCAACCUGGGAACUGCAUUUGUGACUGGCAAGCUAGAGUGUGGCAGAGGGGGGUGGAAUUCCGCGUGUAGCAGUGAAAUGCGUAGAUAUGCGGAGGAACACCGAUGGCGAAGGCAGCCCCCUGGGCCAACACUGACGCUCAUGCACGAAAGCGUGGGGAGCAAACAGGAUUAGAUACCCCGGUAGUCCCUGUCUCUUAUAC
RNAcentral lists this ribosomal RNA (301 nucleotides) under uncultured bacterium. Its description in RNAcentral is "partial 16S ribosomal RNA". It matches the Rfam family "Bacterial small subunit ribosomal RNA", at positions 509 to 807 of the family's 1533-position model. The record is from RNAcentral.